Molecule: long non-coding RNA, 560 nt
Organism: Xiphias gladius (swordfish)
Lineage: Eukaryota; Metazoa; Chordata; Actinopteri; Istiophoriformes; Xiphiidae
Exons: 3
Source: RefSeq, a predicted model, not a curated record
CUUUCAGCAGAAAGCGACCGCGCGGCUCUUUAGUUUACACGCAUGAUUAUGUGGAGUUUGGACUGAGACAGCGAGAGGCUGAGGGAAGUCCGGCUCGGUGAACGCACUCCGCGUGAAAACUCACCACAUUAGUGAGGAAAUCUCCGUCGCUGAGUUCCUCCAGGUCCAACAGAUGUCUCUCGCUGAGCAUAAAGUUCAGAAGUCCAGAGUGAGCAGCGAGGAGAAAGGGAUGUGCAGGGGGAGAGAGACAGAAAGGGGGUGAGAGGAGCUGAUGCGACUGCCCAUCACCGAAGCGCGCCUCAACUCCUCACCUGCUGACACAGUGGCGUCCCCUAAUAUUGCAUUCAUCCUGCUUCAACCUCUUUUCCAGCUGGAAUUGUGCAGCAAUCUCAUGCCAGAAGCUGCAGGCUCAAACUGGAAAACAGCCAGGUCAUCGGUGUUGCAAAAAAAGUCUGGCCCCCAUAUACAGUAGGUGCCUUGAACACUGUCAGAGGUGGAGGUUCAAAAAACUGGUACUUAGUAGGAGGUUUUAUUUCUUCCAUUUUCCUCCAUACAGGCUG